This 274-nucleotide ribosomal RNA is filed under the name uncultured bacterium. RNAcentral describes it as "partial 16S ribosomal RNA". It matches the Rfam family "Bacterial small subunit ribosomal RNA", at positions 523 to 796 of the family's 1533-position model. The record is from RNAcentral.
AUACGGAGGGCGCAAGCGUUGUUCGGAAUUAUUGGGCGUAAAGCGCGUGUAGGCGGCUUGGUAAGUCGGGUGUGAAAGCCCGGGGCUCAACCCCGGAAAUGCAUUCGAAACUGCCUCGCUAGAGUCCCGGAGAGGAGGGCGGAAUUCCCGGUGUAGAGGUGAAAUUCGUAGAUAUCGGGAGGAACACCAGUGGCGAAGGCGGCCCUCUGGACGGCGACUGACGCUGAGACGCGAAAGCGUGGGGAGCAAACAGGAUUAGAAACCCCGGUAGUCC